Molecule: ribosomal RNA, 481 nt
Filed under: uncultured bacterium
Lineage: Bacteria
Description: partial 16S ribosomal RNA
Rfam family: Bacterial small subunit ribosomal RNA
Source: RNAcentral
GAUGAACGCUGGCGGCGUGCUUAACACAUGCAAGUCGAACGAAGCACCUUAUUUGAUUUUCUUCGGAACUGAAGAUUUGGUGAUUGAGUGGCGGACGGGUGAGUAACGCGUGGGUAACCUGCCCUGUACAGGGGGAUAACAGUCAGAAAUGACUGCUAAUACCGCAUAAGACCACAGCACCGCAUGGUGCAGGGGUAAAAACUCCGGCGGUACAGGAUGGACCCGCGUCUGAUUAGCUGGUUGGUGAGGUAACGGCUCACCAAGGCGACGAUCAGUAGCCGGCUUGGGAGAGUGAACGGCCACAUUGGAACUGGGACACGGCCCAAACUCCUACGGGAGGCAGCAGUGGGGAAUAUUGCAAAAUGGGGGAAACCCUGAUGCAGCGACGCCGCGUGAGUGAAGAAGUAUUUCGGUAUGUAAAGCUCUAUCAGCAGGGAAGAAAAUGACGGUACCUGACUAAGAAGCCCCGGCUAACUACGUG